AUUUGAAUGAAAACACUCUGCCAGCCCUAUUGGAGACUGCAUGCCCCCUUGAGCAUUAUCUGCCUGUGGGACUCCCAGGCACUUUUGGGACCCUACACCCAGGUUUCUCCCGUGUAACUUCAGCAGUUUCCUUCAUGUGCUCGGCAAGGAGAUUCUUUGCUGCUAUGGCCAGUGCAGAAAGUUUGAAGAGCAUUCCAGAGGCUGUAAGAGUUGUGAUACCAUUCAGUGUCUCAGCUUUCAGCACAAAUAUGUCCUGAACUGCUAAAUAUUCAUGAUCACGUGGAAGAUGGUCACUGGGUAAAGUGGCAUGGAGGUGCUACGAAAGGGAACUCCGCAGCAUCAGUCAGCGAGGCAGGACCCGUCUCUGUGUACGGUGAAGUAUCCGACGACAGGGACAGACUGUGCAGCGCUGCGGGAGAAAGGAGACGACCAACCUGUGCUCAGAUAGAGCCCUCUGCGAAUGGAAAAGGGGUUGUUCAUCCUGGAGGAGGCUUUUAUUCGGAGCACGUGAACCUCUGGAGGCCAACACCAGCCCGCUCGAGCGCUCCCUAAACCAGCGAUCCCAACGUAGAGCAGCCAGGUGGCAGAGCAGAGGAAUUAGAGCCUCUCACCGGCUGCUCAACACUUCGCCCUGGGAAGCAGCUUCGGCAUCAGCCAAGGAAGCCUGCAAGGAACAAAGUGGGGGCAUAGUGGGAGGGCUGCACCGCAGAUGCGGUACCUGCAUGCUACAGCCCUGUGCACACCUGCACCACUCCCCAAUCAAGUACCUGGAUAACAAAGGGCAUCGAAACAUGAUGCACGAACAUCUUGCUAACUUGACAAGGAACAUACAUCAUUUGACCUGCUACUUUGUCUUAUUCGGCUCAUCUCCCAUUUGGGAAUUGCUCAGUGUCUCUGACAACACGGAAGUUCUCCACAGGGAAGUUUCCACAGGAGUUGGACACAACCCAAACAAAACCUCUAAACAAUCGACCUCCAUCUCCACUCACAGACGCUGCUGCUGA
Molecule: long non-coding RNA, 1004 nt
Organism: Struthio camelus australis
Lineage: Eukaryota; Metazoa; Chordata; Aves; Struthioniformes; Struthionidae
Source: Ensembl